GCGCCCUUAGCUCAACUGGAUAGAGCGUUAGUCUACGAAACUAAAGGCUGCGGAUUCGAGUUCCUCAGGGCGCGCCA
RNAcentral lists this transfer RNA (77 nucleotides) under Candidatus Alectryobacillus merdavium. RNAcentral describes it as "tRNA-Arg". It matches the Rfam family "tRNA". Rfam says of the family: Transfer RNA (tRNA) molecules are approximately 80 nucleotides in length. Their secondary structure includes four short double-helical elements and three loops (D, anti-codon, and T loops). The record is from RNAcentral. Lineage: Bacteria; Bacillati; Bacillota; Bacilli.